RNAcentral lists this ribosomal RNA (463 nucleotides) under uncultured bacterium. RNAcentral describes it as "partial 16S ribosomal RNA". It matches the Rfam family "Bacterial small subunit ribosomal RNA", at positions 339 to 795 of the family's 1533-position model. The record is from RNAcentral.
CUACGGGCUGCACCAGUGAGGAAUUUUGCGCAAUGGGGGAAACCCUGACGCAGCAACGCCGCGUGAGCGAAGAAGGCCCUCGGGUCGUAAAGCUCUGUCAAGUGGGAAAAAAGCCUUUUGAUCAAUACCCAAAAGGUUUGAUGGUACCACUGGAGGAAGCACCGGCUAAAUCCGUGCCAGCAGCCGCGGUAAUACGGAGGGUGCAAGCGUUGUUCGGAAUUACUGGGCGUAAAGGGCGUGCAGGCGGUUUGGCAAGUCAGAUGUGAAAGCCCUGGGCUUAACCCGGGAAGUGCAUUUGAACUGCCUUUCUUGAGUAUGGGAGAGGAGAGUGGAAUUCCCAGUGUAGAGGUGAAAUUCGUAGAUAUUGGGAGGAACACCCGUGGCGAAGGCGACUCUCUGGACCAAUACUGACGCUGAGACGCGAAAGCGUGGGGAGCAAACAGGAUUAGAUACCCCGGUAGUC